CAGGUACUCCCUCCGUCCGGAAUUACUUAUCGUGGAAAUGGAUGUAUCUAGACAUUUUUUAGUUCUAGAUACAUCCAUUUUUAUUCAUUUUGGAGAUAAGUAGUUUCGGACGGAGGGAGUAUCAA
Non-coding RNA from Triticum aestivum (bread wheat), 125 nucleotides. The record is from Rfam. NCBI's taxonomy places the organism in Eukaryota, Viridiplantae, Streptophyta, Magnoliopsida, Poales, Poaceae.